GAUGAAGAACGCAGCGAAAUGCGAUAAGUAAUGUGAAUUGCAGAAUUCAGUGAAUCAUCGAAUCUUUGAACGCACAUUGCGCCCGCCAGUAUUCUGGCGGGCAUGCCUGUUCGAGCGUCAUUUCAACCAUCAAGCCCCCGGGCUUGUGUUGGGGACCUGCGGCUGCCGCAGGCCCUGAAAAGCAGUGGCGGGCUCGCUGUCACACCGAGCGUAGUAGAUUUUAUCACGCUCUGGGCGUGCUGCGGGUUCCGGCCGUUAAACCACCCUUUUAACCCAAGGUUGACCUCGGAUCAGGUAGGAAGACCCGCUGAACUUAAGCAUAUCAAUAAGCGGAGGA
Molecule: unclassified non-coding RNA, 337 nt
Filed under: soil metagenome
Description: partial contains 5.8S ribosomal RNA, internal transcribed spacer 2, and large subunit ribosomal RNA
Rfam family: 5.8S ribosomal RNA (bases 1-120)
Source: RNAcentral